This is a long non-coding RNA of Cucumis sativus (cucumber), 728 nucleotides long. RefSeq lists it as uncharacterized. NCBI's taxonomy places the organism in Eukaryota, Viridiplantae, Streptophyta, Magnoliopsida, Cucurbitales, Cucurbitaceae. The record is from RefSeq and is a predicted model, not a curated record. The transcript has 2 exons.
UAUUCAUCUUCUUCCUCAAAGUACCCCAGUCACCGACUCUCUCUCCCUCAUUUCCUCUACAUUAUUCUUCGACGUCAUUUUCUUCUUCAUCCAACCUCGUCAUAGAUAAUUGUUUGUUGUCUAUCGACGCUGCUCUCUAUUGCUGUCGCUCACCGAUUUUGGUUAAGAUUGGUGAAUUAGAUGUUUUUACACACAGGAUGAUAAAAAGAAAAAAUGAAAUGAGGAUCGCACGCAUGAACUCCAUGAUAAAAAGCUUGACAAUUCACGAGUUGCAAGGCGAGAUGAUUUGCUAGAAAACAAGAGUAGUAGUUAGGGCUGAUGUGACAUGAAACUGCUACUUUUUGCGCUGCCAUUUAUAGGCAAGGACAUUUGUGCAGCGUAGGCAAGGAUGGAAGUGCAACAUGAGCAUUUAAUUUUCCGCUUAAAAGUAUGCCUCUAAAAGAAGCCCAACUCCACCAUGAAGAAAUCAACAAAUGAGGUCAUCCCUUAAGAAAGCCAAUGAAGGACAAGUUUUAGAAUCAUUCACCAUUUGUAGUAUAGUAUUUCUUCCUCCACCCUUUAUCUGAUUAGCAUCUGAGUGAGAGCUUAGAAAGAGAUUAGAGAGAAAGAAGUUUCCUCACCAUUUUCCCUAACUUGUAAAAGAGCCAAGGAAUCCAUGAUAAUGGAUUAUGCGACUCGACACAUCUUUUCUUUUAAUUUUUGAACUUUAUGAUGAAUUGUAUGAAUAU